AUCACUGGGCGUAAAGCGUCUGUAGGUGGUUUAGUAAGUCUAUUGUUAAAUCUUGAGGCUCAACUUCAAAUCAGCGAUGGAAACUGCUAGACUAGAGUGUGGUAGAGGUAAGAGGAAUUUCCAGUGGAGCGGUGAAAUGCGUAGAUAUUGGAAAGAACACCGAUGGCGAAGGCAUCUUACUGGGCCAUAACUGACACUCAGAGACGAAAGCUAGGGUAGCAAGUGGGAUUAGAUACCCCAGUAGUCCUAGCAGUAAACGAUGGAUACUAGAUGUUGCCCGUAUCAACCCGUGCAGUGUCAAAGCUAACGCGUUAAGUAUCCCGCCUGGGAAGUAUGCACGCAAGUGUGAAACUCAAAGGAAUUGACGGGGGCCCGCACAAGCGGUGGAGCAUGUGGUUUAAUUUGAUGCAACGCGAAGAACCUUACCAGGGUUUGACAUGACAUGAAUUUUUCUGAGAAGAAAAAGUGCCUUUUAGGAACAUGUACACAGGUGGUGCAUGGCUGUCGUCAGCUCGUGUCGUGAGAUGUUGGGUUAAGUCCCGCAACGAGCGCAACCCUUGUUUUUAGUUAUUUUUCUAGAAAGACUGCCGGUUAUAAGCCGGAGGAAGGCGGGGACGACGUCAAGUCAGCAUGCCCCUUAUACCCUGGGCUACACACGUGCUACAUUGGGUAAGACAAUGAGUCGCGAGCCUGUGAAGGUCAGCAAAUCUAUAAACUUACUCUAAGUUCGGAUUGUAGGCUGCAACUC
This 748-nucleotide ribosomal RNA is filed under the name uncultured marine dictyochophyte. RNAcentral's name for it is "bacterial SSU rRNA". It matches the Rfam family "Bacterial small subunit ribosomal RNA", at positions 550 to 1313 of the family's 1533-position model. Lineage: Eukaryota; Dictyochophyceae. The record is from RNAcentral.